UAGGGAAUCUUCGGCAAUGGGGGCAACCCUGACCGAGCAACGCCGCGUGAGUGAAGAAGGUUUUCGGAUCGUAAAGCUCUGUUGUAAGAGAAGAACGUGUGUGAGAGUGGAAAGUUCACACAGUGACGGUAACUUACCAGAAAGGGACGGCUAACUACGUGCCAGCAGCCGCGGUAAUACGUAGGUCCCGAGCGUUGUCCGGAUUUAUUGGGCGCAAAGCGAGCGCAGGCGGUUUAAUAAGUCUGAAGUUAAAGGCAGUGGCUUAACCAUUGUUCGCUUUGGAAGCUGUUAAACUUGAGUGCAGAAGGGGAGAGAGGAAUUCCAUGUGUAGAGGUGAAAUGCGUAGAUAGAUGGAGGACCACCGGUGGCGAAAGCGGCUCUCUGGCCUUUAACUGACGCUGAGGCUCGAAAGCGUGGGGAGCAAGCAGG
This 429-nucleotide ribosomal RNA is filed under the name bacterium. RNAcentral describes it as "partial 16S ribosomal RNA". It matches the Rfam family "Bacterial small subunit ribosomal RNA", at positions 355 to 776 of the family's 1533-position model. The record is from RNAcentral.